Molecule: long non-coding RNA, 943 nt
Organism: Halichondria panicea
Lineage: Eukaryota; Metazoa; Porifera; Demospongiae; Suberitida; Halichondriidae
Exons: 2
Source: RefSeq, a predicted model, not a curated record
UCCACCUAGCCUCGAUCCCAGGCCGAGUUUUCGCUUUUAUAACGGUUAGGCGAACAACUGGGCCUGGUACUAGUUGUCUGCGCAUGCGUCAAUCGUUCGUCAGAUUCUGACGAAUGGAUAUUCUCGUUCACUUUCGUGACAUUUAUAUUCGUGUACUAUCGUGUACUAGAAGUCAGUUCCCGUUUUAUCAUUAUUGGAAUCGAUUGGAAUGGCUCUUAGCUGAAGCUUCUCUCUUCUCUGAAGCUUAUUCUGAAGACUGAACAACAAGGGAAGAGGUAUAAAGCUUUGUCAAGCUUGUUAAGGUCAGAUAUUUUUGUGUGGGCCCUAUGGCCGGCUAUGCUAUCAAGUCUUGUUCAUGUUUGGCAAGAAUGUAGGUAGACUAUAGUUUCAUCAUUAAUAUGGUGGAUCAAGUGAAGAGUGUGAGCUAGAGAACUUGGUGCUGCCAUCAUCAGCUCGUCGACAAUGACACUAUAACCGAGAAAUUUAAUAUGUAUAGAUCUACACGUAUUUAAAAUGUCUACUUCUCUGUACAGGAGCAAUGGCUAAUAUCCAGCUAUCCCAACAGUGCUCCUCUUGGCUAUACUAACGGACGAGACUGGACAGUUUGAGACACAGGACUGGAGUAUGACCUGCUCAUUCGAGCGUUGCUGGGUAGCUCAGAGACAUCAAGAGAAUCUACGUUUUCUCAAGCAAUGAGUUACGAGUUGGGGUCUAGAAUCAGAGAAGUCCAGCAGCCUGCUAAAUCUUUUUGAAACGUAAUUUGAAGGCAUUCAAUCAUCCUGAAGUUGCCCUGGAUCACUGUAAUUGUGCUGCAGCACAACUGGCAACUCCCCAGGCCUUUGUGAAGCAGCUCCCUAUGUGCAUCUUUUGUGUACUCACUCUGUGCAUUUUCUGUGUACAAAUUUCUAUUAUUGAUUUAUUAAAUAUUUUUGCCGACCACAAA